GAUGAAGAACGCAGCGAAAUGCGAUAAGUAAUGUGAAUUGCAGAAUUCAGUGAAUCAUCGAAUCUUUGAACGCACAUUGCGCCCGCUAGUAUUCUGGCGGGCAUGCCUGUCCGAGCGUCAUUUCAACCCUCAAGCCCCCGGGCUUGGUGUUGGGGAUCGGCGAGCCUCCGCGCCCGCCGUCCCCUAAACCUAGUGGCGGUCUCGCUGUAGCUUCCUCUGCGUAGUAGCACACCUCGCACUGGGAAACAGCGCGGCCACGCCGUUAAACCCCCAACUUCUGAACGUUUGACCUCGGAUCAGGUAGGAAUACCCGCUGAACUUAAGCAUAUCAAUAAGCGGAGGA
Molecule: unclassified non-coding RNA, 343 nt
Filed under: soil metagenome
Description: partial contains 5.8S ribosomal RNA, internal transcribed spacer 2, and large subunit ribosomal RNA
Rfam family: 5.8S ribosomal RNA (bases 1-120)
Source: RNAcentral